GUUUACUUUAAGCCUGGCCUCAGUGUAUUACCACUCCCUUUCAAAGAGUCUUGAAUCCGACAAUAACUAAGACAGUGUGAAAAAGUCAGUACAGGAGAACACACAGAGGUGGAAUUGCUUUCCAGGAGGAAGCUCAACUGGAGUUGGGUACUGCUAGUAUUACUUGAAUAAAAUCACAAUUUGAAAGGGUCUCUUUUGAUGCAAACAAAUAUUUUUCUUCAAAAUAAAUAAAUACAACACAGAAAAUGUAGAAAUAAUCAUCAUGUCUCCAGAGAGUCAGCCUCUGGAUGAGAGCGACAGUACUAGAGAAUUGACCAGGUCAGCUAAGGUAAUUGCACUUUUUCUGUCUUAUCGUAAAGAGCAUCUUGGGGACUGUGUGUCCUAAAAUGUACACCGUACAGGGGACUGUGUGAGUUCACAGCUGUAUAAUACAAUAAUAAUAUGUAUUAAUACAUAUGUGUGUUGUUCUGAGAAAGCAUGAGGCCCUUAUAACCAAACAUGAUUCUCAAAUUCAACAAAAACAUGUUUUAUUGUCAUACACCAGAUAGGUGAAAUGAAAUGUGUUGUUUUACAGGGUCAGCCAUAGUAGUACAGCGCCCCUGGAGCUAAUUAGGGUUAAGUGCCUUGCUCAAGGACACAGACAGAUUUUUCACCUUGUUGGCUCAGGUAUUCGAACCAGCAACCGGCCCAACGCUCUAGCCGCUAUGCUACCUGGCACCUGCCACCCGCAACUCUAAUCCCAACUUUGAUACAAAUUAAGACACCAAAUCCCAGAAUACAGUGGAGCUUUACAUUACAGUAAAUCAGAUGUUGAAAGAACAAUGCUGAUUUUGGUUUUGUUUGUCGUCAUUGUACAAGUGUCAUGGUUGGACCUCUGUUGUUGUCGUGUGUAUGUUUACACUAGUAUCAAAUACAUUGUUGAUAAAAAUGUGUGUUUGCUGGAAUGGUUGUAAAAGGCCAGAGAGGACCUUGGCAUUGCUGUUCUCCCACAGAUACAAAAGCACGUACAACAGACUGUAAGCCCAAAAUACAGUGUUGCCUUGAGGAAACCACAACACCCGUGUUCAGACUGCACUUCCCUACUCCCAACACUAGAUGGUGACCCAGCCAGCUCCUCACCGCCAAACCGCUCUGCUGACAGUUCCAAUACACGUUCAUGUUCUGUCACUGCUCAGCAUUUAGAUUUUAGUAUUGUAAUUAAGUCAAGAAAUCAUGUUCUUGCAUUUCUGCGCAGAUUGAAUUUGACACUAUAUUAGACUCUUACCAAGUUACAUUUGACUGAUAUCAUUGAUGACAACAUAAGGUUUUGGCUCUGUGAAACAACUUUCUCUAUUGUCAACAUAUGGCAACUUUACUGGAGAGAAGCAUCAGAUGUUACUUUAGGAAAAAUGAAAUCGAAAAAUGUACAAAUGUGUCUAAUCAAAGCCUCAUUAUGCCAGAUAUGAGAAAGAACGACACAUCAAGUUAAAUCAAAUAAUGAUUAGUGAAACAACUGGUGGGUUAGGGACUGAUCACUGUAACGUAGAAAGGGAAGGUUGUCUAACUGUGCAAUAGAGACUUUAGCUCGACUGAAAAACGUUAUGUUGUGUUGUAGGUCUCUGUAUCAGGUGUUUGUCUCUCUCUCACACCGGAGUCUCAAUAACUGACUGUAGGUGUACAACUAGGCUACAGUAUAACCCACCCACACUCAUCACCAUAGUAAAAAUAGGAUCAGCAUUAAUAAUCAUUUAUUACAUUUCUAUAGCUCUUUUCAUAGAAUCAUAGAGCGAAAAACAAACAAGCAAUAUAUCAUGGCAGGUAAACCAGUAGACGCCAGGUAAACCAGUAGAGGCCAGGUCAACCAGUAGAGGCCCGGGUCAACCAGUAGAGGCCAGGUCAACCAGUAGAGGCCGGGUCAACCAGUAGAGGCCGGGUCAACCAGUAGAGGCCGGGUCAACCAGUAGAGGCCGGGUCAACCAGUAGAGGCCGGGUCAACCAGUAGAGGCCGGGUCAACCAGUAGAGUCCAGGUCAACCAAUAGAGGCCAUGUUUUUGAAAGCUGUAUCCUCUGAAGAUAGAGAGGGUCAGUUCAUGGCUUGAGGCGAGGGAGCUGGUCAGGGGAUGGUAGAUGGUGAUUGGUUGUCUCAUAAUAAUAGGCCCUGUACUCCAUGCCUUCUGCCUCUGGACCUCUCAGUGGAGGAAAAUAAACAGCCAGUGAUCAAAUUAAUAUAAUCUUAUGUAAAUGAGGAUUUUAAUAAUCCCAUCUGCAUUAUCCAUCUACAUUAUCAUUAUCAGUGUGAUCAGAGAAGCCAAUUGGCCCACUAUAAACUGCCUUGGGAAGAGAGGAGAGGAGGAUGACAGGAUGAGAUAACAGUCUAAAUAUAGCAAGCUGAAGCUUCCUCAAGGCAUCAUAAAACCCAUGAUUACACCAACAUAAUUAACAACAGAUUAUUAUUAAAAACUGCACAUGGAAUACCAGAAGUACAGUAUAAUUCACACAAUAGAAAAAACAUGACCGAUUGGUUGGUUUUCCAAAGGUCAUGUUAAGAUGAUGACUGACAUGGGAGAUUAUCUAGCAAUUUCCUGUGACUGAAUGGUUGGUAGAAAAUGGUUUUAAAAACGUUACAUUCUUCUCAGAGCCUUUAAAGAGUUCCAAUGGUAGAAGGAGGUAAUGUCAGGUGGAUGGCUGGAUCUGAUGUUAUCCCAAUGUUGUGUUUUGGUUGUAUCAACGUUGUAUCAAUAUUGUACCAACCCAACCCAAACAAGAUGUAAAAACCCCAGAGCUUGAAUUACCAGUAGGCCAUAUAUAGCAAUGACUUUCAGUGUUUGUUUUUCUAGAUGAAAAGGGAAACGAUCAUUUUGGCAAAAUUCCAUUCCCCCCCAUCAUUCAUUGCUUUUCUCGAUUCCUUUUUUGUCAUCCAAGGGAGGGCAGGUGUGUAUGUGUCUGUGUGUGGGACAGAAAUGUAAAACAAAAGAUUUUCCCACAAAUCUUCCUGUUUGUUUCUGUAUAAUUUCCCACACUUAUACUGGAAACAAAAAUGUGUCCUUAGGACUUCCUGGGAACAUCACGAAAUGGUCGUCAAGACAUUGUGUCAUGGUCCUGUGGAGGUUUUGUUUAGUUCCCCGGUUGCCAGAACCAAACAGGAACCUGUUCAUAAAGUUCCCUUGUGGACAUAAAAAAACAUAUUAUAACAUUACACUGCGACCAAACCGGGACCUGCACUGAUGUCCCCUUAUGGAUAACGUCUUGCUGAAACCCUAAAAAAACCUAAUGGGAACAUCGCUUAAUGUCCUAGAGAUGUCCUCUGUUUGCUGGGAUAUACUAUAAAGAACUUGACUCAUAUUAAAAGAGAAAAGGGUUGAGUGUGAUGUUGGUGGGAACUAAAAAGUGCUUCAAUGCAUGGUCAGAUCCGAUACAAUCCGGUCUGAUCUGGUCCAGACCAGUACAGACCCAAACCCAGAGGGGCGGGCAUGUAGGCCUUAGCGGGCUCUCAGCUGUCAGCGGUAUGGUGGCAGUAGUUGGAAUGUUGAAUGUUCCAGAAUGUUCCAAAGUGUUCUAGAAUGUUCCAGAGAUCCGGCGGCGCUUUAGCCCACGACUCACAGGAAGUACAACCAAUAAACCAAACAUACAAGCUAACAAACAAACAACGAAACAGAAACACUGAAACCUCUGAAGCAGAGUGAGUUCAUCCGACUCAGUCCUGUUCCCCCAGAGAUAUGUGUGUGUGUGAGUGAGUGUGAGUGAGUGUGUGUGAGUGUGUGUGUAGAGCUGUCUAUGGGCUCAUUGGGCCCCAGUGGAGAAAGAAGGAGGGUUGUUGGUCCGUAGUCCUGUCUCAGACAGUGUGGAGACGGUGGGGUCAGGGGGUUGGGGUGGGACGGUCACACCUCAGGAGAACAUCCAUACUAUAGUCUUUUGUAUAUCUGCGUGUAUGUGUUUCACUCUGUGCGCUGAUCAUUGGAGGCUGCUGAGGGGAGGACGGCUCAUAAUAAUGGCUGGAACGGAGCGAAUGGAAUGGCAUUAAACCAUAUGUUUGAUGUAUUUGAUACCAUUCCACGGAUUCCACUCAAGCCAUUACCACGAGCCUGUCCUCCCCAAUGAAGGUGCCACCAACCUCCUGUGGGGUUCAUGUGUGUGUUUAUAUACGUAGGUCAGACAUGGUGUGUCCCUGUGUGUCAGUAUUCAUACCUCUUGACUUAUUACACAUUUUGUUACAGCCUGAAUUCAUAAUGCAUUAAAUGUUUUUUCUCGCCCACCUACACACAAUACCCCAUAAUGACAAAGCAAAAACAUGAAAUACAGAAAUCUCUCAUUUACAUAAGUAUUCACACCCCUGAGUCAAUACUUUGUAGAAGCACCUUUGGCAGUGAUUACAGCUAUGAGUCUUUCUAUGUAAAUCUCUAAGAGCUUUCCACACCUGGACUGUGCAACAUUUGCCCAUUUCUAUUUAAAAAAUUUAUCAAGCUCUGUCAAAUUGGUUGUUGAGAAUUGCUAGACAACCAUUUUCAGGUCAUGCCAUAGAUUUUAAAGUGGAUUUAAGUCAGAACUGUAACUCAGCCACUCAGGAACAUUCACUGUCUUCUUGGUAAGCAACUCCAGUGUAGGUUUGGCCUUGUGUUUUAGGUUAUUGUCCUGCUGAAAGGUGAAAUCAUCUCCCAUUGUCUGGUGGAAAGCAGACUAUCCCAGAUUUUUCUCUAGGAUUUUGCCUGUGCUUAUCUCCAUUCCAUUGCUUUUUAUCCUGUAAAACUCCCCAUCCUUAAUGGUAACAAGAAUACCCAUAACAGGAUGCAGCCACCACUAUGCUUGAAAAUAUGAAGAGUGGUACUCAGUAAUGUGUUGUAUUGGAUUUGCCCCAAACAUAACAUUUUGUAUUCAGGACAAAAAGUUAAUUGCUCUGCCACAUUUUCUGCAAUAUUACUUUAGUUAGUGCCUUGUUGCAAACAGGAUGCAUGUUAUGGAAUAUUUUUUAUACUGUACAGGCUUCUUUCUUUUGCUCUGUCAAUCAGGUAAGUAUUGUGGAGUAACUACAAUGUUGUUGAUCCAUCCUCAGUUUUCUCCUAUCACAGCCAUUAAACUCUGUUAACUCUUUUAAAGUCACCAUUGGCCUCAUGGUGAAAUCCCUGAGCGGUUUCCUUCCUCUCAGGCAACUGAGUUAGAAAGGA
This 5138-nucleotide long non-coding RNA is filed under the name Salmo salar (Atlantic salmon). RNAcentral describes it as "lncRNA (ENSSSAG00000122047.1)". Lineage: Eukaryota; Metazoa; Chordata; Actinopteri; Salmoniformes; Salmonidae. The record is from RNAcentral.